RNAcentral lists this ribosomal RNA (342 nucleotides) under uncultured soil bacterium. RNAcentral's name for it is "bacterial SSU rRNA". It matches the Rfam family "Bacterial small subunit ribosomal RNA", at positions 26 to 369 of the family's 1533-position model. The record is from RNAcentral.
AGGACGAACGCUGGCGGCGUGCCUAACACAUGCAAGUCGAACGGGACCAGGGGCAACUCUGGUUCAGUGGCGGACGGGUGCGUAACACGUGAGGAACAUGACCUUCGGCGGGGGAUAGCCGGCCCAACGGCCGGGUAAUACCGCGUACGACCACAUGGGGACAUCCCUGAGUGGUGAAAGCAGCAAUGCGCCGAUGGAGUGCCUCGCGGCCUAUCAGCUAGUUGGUGAGGUAACGGCUCACCAAGGCGACGACGGGUAGCUGGUCUGAGAGGAUGGCCAGCCGCAUUGGGACUGAGACACGGUCCAGACUCCUACGGGAGGCAGCAGUGGGGAAUUUUGGAC